CACCGGCGGCUCGAGUGGUGACCACUUUUAUUGGGUCUAAAGCGUCCGUAGCCGGCUUGGCAAGUCCCCUGGGAAAUCUGGCGGCUUAACCGUCAGGCGUCCAGAGGAUACUGCCAGGCUUGGGACCGGGAGAGGUGAGAGGUACCUCAGGGGUAGGGGUGAAAUCUUGUGAUCCCUGAGGGACCACCAGUGGCGAAGGCGUCUCACUAGAACGGGUCCGACGGUCAGGGACGAAAGCUGGGGGCACGAACCGG
This 254-nucleotide ribosomal RNA is filed under the name uncultured microorganism. Its description in RNAcentral is "partial 16S ribosomal RNA". It matches the Rfam family "Archaeal small subunit ribosomal RNA", at positions 474 to 727 of the family's 1478-position model. The record is from RNAcentral.